Ribosomal RNA from Telopea speciosissima, 3442 nucleotides. The record is from RefSeq and is a predicted model, not a curated record. Lineage: Eukaryota; Viridiplantae; Streptophyta; Magnoliopsida; Proteales; Proteaceae.
UGACCCCAGGUCAGGCGGAGCUACCCGCUGAGUUUAAGCAUAUCAAUAAGUGGAGGAGAAGAAACUUAUGAGGAUUCCCCUAGUAAUAGCGAGUGAACCGGGAAGAGCCCAGCUUGAGAAUCAAAAUGCCUCGUCAUUGAAUUGUAGUCCGUAGAAGCGUCCUCAGCAGCGGACCGGGCCCAAGUCCCCUGGAAGGGGAUGCCGGAGAGGGUGAGAGCCCCAUCGUGCCUGGGCCCUGUCGCACCACGAGGCACUGUCGGUGAAUCAGGUUGUUUGGGAAUGCAGCCCCAAUCGGGCAGUAAAUUCCAUCCAAGGCUAAAUAUGGGCAAGAGACCAAUAGUGAACAAGUACCACAAGGGAAAGAUGAAAAGGACUUUGAAAAGAGAGUCAAAGAGUGCUUGAAAUUAUUGGGAGGGAAGUGGAUGGGGGCUGGCGAUGCGCCUCGGUCGGAUGCAAAAUGAUGUACAGCUGGUUCGUCACUCGACUCGAGGCAUGGACCAAUGCGGAUUGUGGAGGUGUCCCAAGCCCAGGUUGUCACACUAUGCCCGAGGAGACGCCGUCGCCAUGAUCAUGGUAGGCAGCUUGCGCCUUCAUGGCAUGCCACUAGGCAACUGCAUGCUCCAAGCAUCGGCCUGUCGGGCGUCCUAUUCGACCCGUCUUAAAACACGGACCAAGGAGUCUGACAUGUGUGCGAGUCAACAGGCGAGUAAACCCGUAAGGCGCAAGGAAGCUGACUGGUGGGAUCCCCCUGUGGGUUGCACCGCCGACCAACCUUGAUCUUCUGAGAAGGGUUCGAGUGAGAGCAUACCUGUCAGGACCCAAAAGAUGGUGAACUAUGCCUGAACGGGGUGAAGCCAGAGGAAACUCUGGUGGAGGCCCGCAUCGAUACUGACAUGCAAAUCGUUCAUUUAACUUGGGUAUAGGGGCGAAAGACUAAUCGAACUGUCUAGUAGUUGGUUCCCUCCAAAGUUUCCCUCAGGAUAGCUGGAGCCCGCGGGCGAGUUCUAUCGGGUAAAGCCAAUGAUUAGAGGCAUCGGGGGCAUAAUGCCCUCGACCUAUUCUCAAACUUUAAAUAGGUAGGAUGGUGCGACUGCUUCAUUGAGCCAUGCCACGGAAUCAAGAGGUCCAAGUGGGCCAUUUUUGGUAAGCAGAACUGGUGAUGUGGGAUGAACCAAAAGCUGGGUUACAGUGCUGGAUUAUGCACUAACCUAGAACCCACAAAGGGUGUUGGUCGAUUAAGACAGCAAGAUGGUGGUCAUGGAAGUCAAAAUCCGCUAAGGAGUAUGUAACAACUCACCUGCCGAAUCAACUAGCCCCAAAAAUGGAUGGCCCUGAAGUGCACAACCUAUACUCGGCCGUCGGGGCAACUGUCAGGCCCCAAUGAGUAGGAGGGUACGAUGGUCACUGUAAAACCUGGGGUGCUAGCCCGAGCGGAGCGGCCGUCGGUCCAGAUCUUAGUGGUAGUAGCAAAUAUUCAAAUAAGACCUUUGAACGCCGAAGAGGGGAAAGGUUCCAUGUGAACGGCACUUGCACAUGGGUUAGUCGAUCCUAAGGGAUGGGGGAAGCUCGUCAGAGAGUGUAUACGCACGUGUGCUCAAGAGACGUGGCGGGGGCCUCUAGACGUGGCUGCUGACAACAACGUGGGUUAAAAUUCCUGAACUGGGGUUAAAAUUCCCGAACCGGAGCCGUUUCUAGGGUGGGUUAAAAUUCCCAAAUCGGAGACGUCGGUGGGGGCCGCGGGAAGAGUUGUCUUUUCUAUUUAAUAGCCUGGCCACCCUGGAAAUGGCUUAGCCAGAGGUAGGGUCCAACGGUUGGAAGAGCACCGCACAUCGCGUGGUGUCCGGUGCGCCCCCGACAGCCCUUAAAAAUCUAGAGGAAUGAGUGCCGACCACGCCCGGUCGUACUCAUAACAGCAUCAGGUGUCCAAGGUGAACAACCUCUGGUCGAUGGAACAAUGUAGGUAAGGGAAGUCGGCAAAAUGGAUCCAUAACCUCGGGAAAAGGAUUGGCUCUGAGGGCUGGGCAUGGGGGUCCCAAUCCUGAACCCGUCGGCUAUCGGUGGAUUGCUCGAGCUACUUCUGCCGUGAGAGAGGGUCGUCGCGUGCCAACCAGGGGAUGGAUUGGGAACGGCCCCCUCGGGGGCUUUCCCCGGGCGUCGAACAGUCGACUCAGAACUAGUACGGACGAGGGGAAUCCAACUGUUUAAUUAAAACAAAGCAUUGCGAUGGUCCCUGCGGAUGCUCACGCAAUGUGAUUUAUGCCCAGUGCUCUGAAUGUCAAAGUGAAGAAAUUCAACCAAGCACGGGUAAACGGUGGGAGUAACUAUGACUCUCUUAAGGUAGCCAAAUGCCUCAUCAUCUAAUUAGUGACGCACAUGAAUGGAUUAACAAGAUUCCCACUGUCCCUGUCUACUAUCUAGCAAAACCACAGCCAAGGGAUUGGGCUUGGCAGAAUCAGCGGGGAAAGAAGACCUUGUUGAGCUUGACUCUAGUCCGGCUUUGUGAAAUGACUUGAGAGGUGUAGGAUACGUAGGAGCCUUCGGGAAAAAGUGAAAAACUACUACUUUUAACAUUAUUUUACUUACUCCAUGAGUCGGAGGCGGGGCUACGCGCCUCCUUUUGGACCUAAGGCCUGCCUCGGUAGGCCAAUUCGAGUGGAGGACAUUGUCAGGUGGGGAGUUUGGCUGGGGUGGCACAUCUAUUAAAAGAUAACGCAGGUGUCCUAUGAUGAGCUCAACAAGAACAGAAAUCUCAUGUGGAACAAAAGGGUAAAAGCUCGUUUGAUUCUAAUUUCUAAUACGAAUACAAACCGUGAAAAUGUGGCCUAUCGAUUCUUUAGACCUUUAGAAUUUGAAGCUAGAGGUGUCAGAAAAGUUACCACAGGGAUAACUGGCUUGUAGCAGCCAAGCGUUCAUAGUGACGUUGCUUUUUGAUCCUUCGAUGUCGACUCUUCCUAUCAUUGUGAAGCUGAAUUCGCCAACUGUUGGAUUGUUCACCCACCAAUAGGGAACGUGAGCUAGGUUUAGACCGUCAUGAAACAGAUUAGUUUUACCCUACUGAUGACAGUGGCAUGAUAGUAAUUCAACCUAGUACGAGAGGAACCAUUGAUUCACACAAUUGGUCAUCGUGCUUGGUUGAAAAGCCAGUGUCGCGAAGCUACCAUGUGUCGGAUUAUGACUGAACACCUCUAAGUCAGAAUAUAGGCUAAAGAAGCAAUGCAUGCACCCAUCGCCCAUUUGCGGAACCCGCAAUAGGGGCCUCCCGGCUCCAACCCCCGCGACGGACGUGUUACGUGGGGCCGCCUUGAAGCGUAAUUCUUGUCCUAUCAGGCGACGGGUAGAAUCCUUUGCAGACGACUUAAAUAAACGAUGGGGUAUUGUUAGUGGCGGAGUGGCCUUGCUACCAAGAUCCACUGAGAUUCAUCCCCGUGUCGCAUCAAUUCGU